AUGUGGUUUUUUAAUUGAACUUGCCAGGAUGCAAUUAAUUCAUAGUAAAUAUGAUGAAAGUAGUAACUGACAAAUGUAAAUACUAAGUUGAAAGAUGACUUUCUAUACUUUUAUGUUAUGUGUCUGUACAUAUAUUUAAUCAGUUUUCAAAUCAGUAAAAUAAUUGUCAAUAAUAUGGAGCAAAAACAUGAAAAUAUUUAAAAAAUUACUCUAUGUGACAUGGCAUAUUUAAAGAUUUCUAUAAGGAUUUGAGAUUAAAUGGACAAAGGAUUUGUGUAGUAAAACACUGAUGAAGCCAGAAAUUAAAUCUGAAUUUUCUCUGCUACGUGGUGUGAUGAUUAUUAUUUUAAUUUUUUUUCUUAUAAGGUUAUUUUUCUUUUAAGAAAAAGCCACGUCUACUAAAGAUUUAGAGAAACUAAACCAGAAUAGCAGUAAUAACUGGUUCUAAAUGAAAGGGUAGACUUUAUGCUGUGAAAAAAGAACUAUUGUUAAUAAGUUCUUCUUAGCACAGAAGGAUAUGAUUGUCCUCGGUAAUAUCAUCUUGAAUAAAUAGGGCAGCGUAGCCUAGUUCUGCUGUGUGCGUAGAUGGUGAGCACGGCAGGAGAUGGCGGGUCAGGGCCCUGAGAAGGAGUAGCAGGAGGGAGAGAGCGAGGUCAGAGAGACGUUGGGGGAAUAGCACAGAUAGUAAGUGACCACUGCCGGAGGCUUCAGAAGAGAAGCACGGGCUCUAAACGUGUCAGGACUGCCAUGAAGGAUGCGACGUGUGUUUUCAUUACACGUAUAAAGAUUUUCCUGUUGGUGGGUGUGAGAGAGAGGGCGAGAAAAAAGGGAGUGAGAAGGGGUGUCUCCAGAGAUGGCAGAUUGUGUUAUUUGUUUUUAAAUUAGAGAUGUGGAUAUAUUUGCAAAGAUUAUAUCAUGACUUUGACUUCUUGUACUUGAGCAGCUGACAAAAAGUUAAUGUGGUUAACUGAGAUAUGUCCCUUGUCCUGUCUCCCGCCUGUCCUGUCUCCUCCUCUUUCCCUUAUGUUCUCUGAGACUCACUUGGGGCGCCAUCGGUCCUAGAAGCUCCCUCCAGUGUCCUCUUCUUUUCCCACUACCCCACACUUGCUGGGUUAAUUGUCCUCCUCCAAGCCCCUCUGUCUCCAGAAUGUCCUGGGAAUCACUCUGUCACGGGGCUUCUAGCACAUGCUAUAUAAACGUCUGUUUAUGUGUUUGUUUUCCCUACUAGACUGUGAACUCCUUAGUGGGCAGGCUCAAGUCUUACUCGCCUAUGUAUCCCCACAUCUAAUAAAUGUUAGUUGAAUGAACAAAUGAAUGAUUUUCUCACGCCCUGUAGUAGACACACUCGCCACAGUCUGUCAGUGUGGCGGUGAAGUCACUGAGCUUUGAUGGUUGGGAAAUCCAUGACUAGAGAGAGAGACCACGUGAGCCUUACAGAAUCUGGGGUGGACUGAGAAGUGAGUAAGGCAGAAUUCCUGAUCUUGAGGUGCUCCACCCAGUAGGUUUCAGUGAUGGCUUGGGAGCAAGAAACAAGUAAGUGCUUGCUGUGUGAUAAGGUUGCAGCAGAGGCCUCACGUACAAACUGCUCCGAAAGCAUGUGAUUAAUUCGGCCUGGGGAGGCCUGGGAAGACUGGCCCUUGAGUCUUUGAGAGUGUGUAGUUGUGUGCCACGUGGAGAGGAACAAGGAGCACGCACCAAGCUGGAGAGGUUUGAGGAUCAGUUUUUGAGAAGUCCAGAAGGAGCUUGAGGGUCAUGGGAGUUGGGGAAUGGGAAAGUGGCGAGAAAUGAGGUCGGAAGGAGCUGUGUGUGUAAUGCCAAUAGCUGGCCUCUGCCCUGUCGGCUGCAGAGAGCCACUGGAGGUUUUAAAAUCAGAGGAGUUGUGUCGAUUGACAUUUAGAAAAAUGCCUGGCAGCAGUGUGAAAAUUGGACUGAAGGGGAAAAACUAAAGAGAAUAGACUAGUCAGGAGACUCAUGCAGCCGUGCACGUGAGUGAGAGGAGGGCCUGUGUGAAGGCGUUGGCCGUGGAGACGGUGGAGGAGAAGACACAGUAUGGAGGAUGAUUUGGGGAGGUAGAAUGUGUGAGACUUACUGACUGGAGUUACAUAUAGCAGUUGUGAGAGAGAUGGAAGAAUGGAAAAUGGUUGUAGAUUUUUUAAUCCUCUAACGAUCAGAUGGGAGUGUAGAAAGGAAGCAUUGGUUUUGGUUUUGCACAUUUGAGAAUGGGGCGUCUAAAUGGUGAUAACUAGCAGACAGUUGGAAAUGUGACUCUGAACUUUAGGAGAGAAAGAUACAGAGUGUGGAGUCACACGUGUGUGGAUGGGUGAGAAUCCCAAAGAAGAGCUAGCUGAGCAGAAUGAGGGAGGGCCAAGCAAAGGACUCCAGGAUGCUCCAGCAUCUCAAGGGCAUACUCAGGAAAAGACCAUCGAAGAACAAUUCAGAAAGGGAAGUAAUCAAUAUCAGAUGCCGCUAAGAGGUCCAGUUGAGAUGAGAAGUAAAAUGAGGCCAUUGGAGUUGACCAAGUCAGAGGCCCUCAGUGAGGAAAAUUAUAAUACUGGUGUCAGAAACUUCAUUUUAAUGACUAAGUGCAGUGGGCGGUAACGAGUAGGGACAAUGAGUAUAGACUACCUUUUUUUAAAAAAGCAAUCUAAAAUAGGAGGUAGAUGACAGAUAAAGGGUAGAAGGGAGGUCUUUAUUUUAGUAUAAGGUAAGUAUAAGUAUCCUGCGAUGGUCUGAAGGUGUCUGUGCGUGCUUGGAACGGCGCCUUGUCGGAAGUGAGAAAGGGAGCUGCCCGGGGAAGAGUCGUGCAGCAUUGCCCAGCAGCAAGGACCUGGCUGAAGGGAAAGCAAGUUAUUCUACCAAAUCGUGGAGUUACCUGGUUUUUCUCCCAUCAUGCUCUCUUUAGUCUGGAAGCUGGAACAAGUAAACUACAACGUAAUUAUUUAUUUUACUGAAUAAUUCUCUUUUCAAAACAGUUUAUUACAAGGUUCUUUUAAAUAACAAGUACUUUUCGGUAUUCUUUUGGUGUGUGAUAAAAUAUACGUAACAAAAACUUAAGCAUUUUAACCAUUGUUAAGUAUACAGUUCUCUGGCAUUAAGUAUAUUCACAUUGUUGUGCAGCCGUCACCCCAUCCGUCUCCAGAACCUUUUCAUCUUCCCCAAAUGUGUCCCCGUUAAACACCAACUCCCCAUUUCCUCGCCCCCCAGUCCCUGGCAACCACCGUUCUACUUUCUCUCUCUGAAUUUGACUACUCUAGGGACCUGAUAUAAAAGGAAUCACACAAUAUUUGUCCUUUUGUGACUGGCUUAUUUCGCUUAACAUCGUGUCUUCAAGCUUCAUCCAUGUUGUAGCAUGUGUCAAAAUUUCCUUCAGUGUUCUUAAAAUAUGAUCUGAACACACUGUUUUCUUCAAGAACAUAACUAUUCCAUGACCAUGAUAAAUUCUCAAAACCUGCCACAUGAGUUUUAUACAGGGAAGGGAGGUAGAAGAAAGGAAUUCACAUUUAUUACACACGUUUACCAUGUAUCAGGUGUUGCCUUGGUUGCAAAUGCUUCAUUGACUCAUUCCGUCUUCACAACAACUCUGUGAGGUGGAUAUUACUGUUAUUCUCAUUCUACAGUGGAAGAAACUGAAUUUCAGAGAGCCUGCGUAGCUUCUGCAAGGUAACUGAGCCAGGAUUCAAAUCCUGGUCAUCCCAAUACCAGAUUCUAUCUUCUUUUUACAACAAUUCAGUUCUCUAUGUAGUCACAGCUCUAAUUGUAUUGUUCUAAAGGAGUCAAAUCUCUUUGCUUUGAACUUAAUGAAGAUGUGCUUUUUCUUUUUCUUUUUUUUUUUUUUUUGGUGAGGAAGAUUGGCCCUGAGCUAACAUCUAUUGCCAAUCCUCCUCUUUUUGUUUGAGAAAGUUUGGCCCUGCGGUAACAUCUCUGCUGGUCUUCCUGUAUGUUGUAUGUGGGAUGCUGCCACAGCAUGGCUUGAUGAGUGGUGUAGGUCCAUGUCUAGGAUCCAAACCCAUGAACCUGGGCCACCAAAGCAGAGCAUGUGGAACUUAACUAUUACGCCACCAGGCUGACCCCACGAUGUGCUUUUUGAGGUUUUCCUGGUGUUCAGCAAAUGUCCUAGGCUCUUCAUGACAUUAAACUGUUUCCAUUUUGUAUUUAAGCUUUUAAGAACAGAAUCAAACACUUGCCAAAAGUGGAGAAUUACUUGUGUAAUUAAUUGAAUUCACAUAGUUAUUUAAUGUUGUCUAGUAUGUUUGCCCAACUUAGAAUUUGUCUGAGGUAGUUAACAGAACUAACUUGAUAGAUUUAUAGUGUAGAUUUCUGAAGGAAAAUACUGCUUUUGACUGAAUUUAUAGUUUCAAUCCUAAUUGCAAAUAGGAAAGGAGAAAAUUUUUUUAAAUGAAAAAUAUAUAGCCUUUUUUUGUGUGUGUGAGGAGGAUUUAGCCCUGAGCUAACAACUGUUGCCAAUCUUCCUCUUUUUGCUUGAGAAAAAUUGUUGCUGAGUCAACAUCUGUGCCAGUCUUCCUCUAUUUUCGUGGGAUGUUACCACGGUGUGGCCUGACGAGUGGUGCUAGGUCCGUGCCCGGGAUCUGAACCAGCAAACCCUGGACUGUCGAAGCAGAGUGCAAGAACUUAACCACUAUACCACUGGGCCAGCCUCAAUAUAUAACCAUUUUUAAGGAUCUCACAAAACAAAAUAUUAUUUGAGUAAUCUGAUGACAGUAUUUGAAGCCAAAAGCCACAGUCUGAUAUCUGCCUUGCUGAAGAUUUCUUUUUUUAACCUAUAUAUGUUUCUCUGAAUUCUUGAAUCUUCUAUCUUGUGCCAGUGAAAGACAUUUUUCUUUAAAGAUCUAAGCAAUGACAAUGACAUAUCAAGAUUGUUUGAGUGAAUGAUCCUGAUAAGUAAAAAAGGUCAUUUACAGAACGGUUAUUUCUAGAACUCGGGACUUUCGUGGAAGUAAGCCAGUGGGCUUUGUUGUUGUUCGAAGUCUGUGCUUUAUCUCUGCAUCUUUGUUCACUGUAUUGCUUUGGAAGCUUUGAGAGCACAACUGAGUUUUUGUUUCAUCUGCAUUCUGUGACCAGUCAUUAGAGAGACCCAAAGUCUGAGGUUUGUGUUGACUGUAGAAAGUCAUUCUCUGAAGCCCGUGUUUGGAAUGAGUUUAAAGAAAGAAGAGUUCCAAAAGCCAGGUUCAGUCUUAGAGUGAAGGCUUGGAAAAGGAUAAGUGGUUCUCUGGGACCAUUAGAGUGGAUCAGAUUACCUUCUAAAGUAGUGAUGAAAACAAAGAAUAAAUCAGAGGGACUGUAAAACAUCCUAAAUUCUACCUUCAGGCAAAUAAUACCAAGUCAUCGAGGAUGGAUAAUUGUUUGCUCUCCAUUUUAUUUUUUCUUGAAGAUUCACAGAAUUAGAAAUUUUACAACCCCCAUUAGUGGUACAUUUAAGUGUUUUAGUAUCCAGGUGAUGAGGAAGCAAGGAAUCUCUUCUGCUUUAUUUCAAGGCUCUUCUCUUGUUCUGACGACAUCAAUUUAAAAGGAACUAAUUAACGUCUGUGGUGGAAAAUGCCUCAUCGUAAAAGUCAUGGACAACGGGGCCAUUUACCCACCGAGAGUCAGGGACUUAAGCUGUAAUCAAAUGUUUAUGCCUUGUUGCUUCACGCAGAUAUAAAGGAAGGAACAAUGCUCAAGAUACAGCAAAGGUAUUUUUAAAGUGUGAAUUUGUGUGGCUCUUGCUGAGUCAGGUGAAGGAGUGAUGCUGGGGAGAGUUGUAGACAAAGCUGACUUUUAGCAAGGAAUGGAAACCCAUGGUAAACAGAACAGGAGUGGGGCUGAGAAUAUGCUCAAGGAGAAAGAAGUCUCUGGAAGGGACACAUCCAAGUGGUUAGGUGGUGGGUCCAGUGGCUGAAGAGGAAGCUUUUGACCUGAAAGGGCUAGAUCUGGGGCCCAGAGAGAAAAUCUGGGGCUAGAUCUGGGGCGCUCUUUACCUCAGGAUUUCAGAGAAGGGCUCAGCCUGCCUCUGGGAGUGGAGGUAGAGUGGCCUACCAGAAAGGACUAACUCCAAGAAAUUGCCAGCCCCGAGGGAAAAUAAAAUCACAGAAGGUCUAGGAGAGUCCUUUUAUUGUUCUAGACCUACCAUUGAAAUUGCAUACUGUGAGACUAUUGUGCUGAAAACUUAGUCCAAAUGGAUAGCAUUUGUAUUCCCAAGGUGCAUGGUGGUCAAUGUUUUGGUGUAUUUGAACAAACUGUCGGUCUGUUAUUCACUAAGGAGUACCAAGUAGGGGAUUCUUGUUAGAUGAGAGAGAGGAUACGAUAUCUUCGCAGAACAAAAUCCUAAUGCAUUUAAUUCAGGUAGGGUGACAAAACACAAGUGUUAAAUCUCUGUGGGGGCUGGCAGAAAAGUACCUUUUUUUAUGGCAUUUGAUCCUUAAAGUUACUCUGUAGUUGUCAUCUCUGAGAACUUGGCUGGAUUUGGCCCUCUUAACUGCAAUAGGUCCGGGAGGGGCAGAAACUUGCAGUUUAUUCAUUCCUUUGGGAAGGAAGCCCAGUAGAGUCAAUAGGAUGUAGUAUGUGAGAUAUGAUAAUAUUACAUGAAUCCUCAAGACUGGGAUACGUUUGAGGUAUAGAGGUCACAUGACUCUAGUUUAAUUAUCUUCUAGUUUUUGUCUUCAUUGUUUGCACUGUUAAGUUUUAUGAAACUUAGUAGGGUGUUCUCUAGUUUAAACUGGAGCAGGAAUUACUCUUUGAUAUCAGGCAAUACCUCAGCUAACUUUCUCACUGAGAAUGUACUUAGUCAACAGGUAACUGUUGACACACAGCAAAUACGAAUGCAUUGCGUGCUUUGGGCGGAUACUAAGAUGAGUCAGAGGCAGACAUUAUUCUCAAGUUGCCUCAUCUAAUGGGAGAGGAGGGUGGACUGUCGAAUGAGGGUGGGGAGCUUGGGUUCUGCGUCAGACCCGGCCCGGGUUCAGAUCCUGGUGUCAACAGGUACCGGAUAUAUGAUCUUGGAAAAAGCUGCUCAAUCCCUCUAUGCCUGCCAAGGUUAUACAUCUAGUACAUGUCAACACCGAAUCUGUAUAAUAGUGCUUAUCUCAUAGGAGUGCUGGAGGCCUAAAUAGGGAAUGUUUCUAAUAAUAAGGGAUUCAGAAUAUAGGAAGUCCUCUGUAAACAUUGGCAACACACAGAUGAAUAGAAUGCUGCCCUCUGGGCCCAGGGCCUUAUGACUUUGCUGGAAGUUCAGUGUUAGACAUACAGCUUGGGAAGUUAUCUGUAGGGAGGCAGUCACCCAAACUUAUGGUGCUGCUAGAGGCAAACACAAGAAAUAACAGGGCAGAACACAAUCUUUAAAUCAAGAACUUCACUUUUAAUGCCACCUAAUUCGUAAGACAUAUUAUGGGGGACUAUUUCUAAAUAAAUCAAAUAUUUGUAAAUAAUUAAAAAUAAGUGGAAAACAAACAAGAGCUAGAAGAGUUUAUUGUUAGAUUUUAUUCUCUGUCUCCAUCUGCGUCCAUAAUGAGUCACAAGUUUUCCAUUUACUGGAAACCGUUUGGAUCUAGGAGGAAAAUAAAUUUUUUGUUAUGGAAGGAAUAGGGUUGUUUAAGAAAUGUGAUGUGGAGGAAUGAGCAUGGACAUUUAAAAUCGGGCAGGCAAGGGUUUGUCCUUUUGGCCUUAUUUUUAUGAUCUGGCAGGCAGUGUUCCAAGAACCUUACGUGUACUGAAUCAUUAAAUAUUCACAAAAACCCGAUGAAGCAUUUUACAAAUGAGGAACCAAGGCUCCCAGAAGAGUGAAGUGUUAGGCUGCUUACCUCCCUGCUUUUUCAGUUCUUCGUGUGUUCGUCUGUUUCUCCAAUGUGCAGGGACCCUUUGCUGGAAAUGUCUUACUCUCUGUGUUUACCCAACCCCCAGUACAGGUUCAUACUUCUCCAGUUCACCUGGUGAAUAUUUGAUUUUUUUUUCCUUCCGUGAAAUGAAAACACAACAGCAACAAUAAGAACAAUAGAAAAUUAAAUUGUUUAGAUAAAAUAUCACUGUUUUCUCUGUAUUUUCUUUGAGUAAAAAAAAAUAUAUAAUUUUACAAAGUAUUAUAGAGCCAGAAACCCUAGGUUCUAGUCUCUACUUGCCCACUUUUUAAGUUAAUUUUAAUUUCACUUAUACGUGUACAUAGUUCAAAGAGUCCAGGAAUAGUUCAAGGCUUGUUACAAAACCCAGCAGUCCUCUGGUUCUCACCCCCACCUCAGCCCCUGCUCUCAGGAGUUCAACUCUGGGACCUGACUCUUCUGUUGUUUAUCUCCAAAUCUCUAAAUAGCAUGUUGCUCUUCCCAAUUUUUCAGUCUUAGGCAUUACCUUUGACUUCUCACGAUAGCAGAAGAGGAUUUGUCCUUCUCAUGCACCCCCACCAUAUGUACAGAGCCCUCCUCCCUUCUCAUAAUGAUAAUUAAAUUUUGAGUAAUAAUUAGUGUUUACAUUAUCAUGACGAUGACGUUAUUGACAGCUGAGGCAUGUACUCCAUGGUUACUUUUUCUUUCCAACACAAUUUUGUUUUCCCUUGUGUUAAUAAUUGUCUUUUUUUGGAGAGGAGGGUGUAGUUUUUUUUGCUUAGAUUUUAUGUAUUUAUCACUUAUUCAUCCUUAAACUCUUCCCCAGAUGUCCAAAUAUAGUUAGGAUAUGUGACCUUGAGCCGGUUGUUUAGCUCUUCUGAUAAAGUAUUUCAUCAUUUAUAGAGUGAAGGGUCCAGAUGACAUGAAGACUUACGCUACCUGUAUCUCUAAAAUUUUAUGGUUCCGUGAAGCAGACAUCUGGAUGUUUUGUACUGAUCACAUCAUCAGGGGACAGCAUUGCCAGCCAGCACACAGCCUUCCUCCCUGACCUGGUAGUCUUUUCUCCUGUUGGCUGGAGCAUCUCUGCUGCCUCCCAGAGGGCCCGUGGGACUCAGGGUCUGGCUGGAAGAAGAGCCCCGUUUGUGUGUGACCAAGACUGCUUGUCAGCAAGACAAGCUUGUCAGGUGUGCCUAAUAAGCUUAGAAAUACCCUCAUUCCAAGAAGAUCAGAGGUCUUGUGAUUAGGGAGACUUACUUGAGUCUUUUGACAGGUACAAGCACUGGUUAUCUUUUGUGGCAAGAGUCAUGGAGAAGCAGAGUGGAUACAUAAAGUGGAUACAUAAAGUUACCAGGGAUGAAAUAAAGACUAAAUGGGAAAUAAGAUAUGAGCAGACAAUAAUUAAAAUCUUGUUUGAAGCAAACAAAAGUAAAACAGAACCCUUGGCAGCAGCUUCUCGCAGGUUGUUAUAUAACGUUGGCGGCAUAAGCACAAAUGUGGUGAUUCUUAGCUUCGUUGGUAUUUUGUUUAGCUCAGUCAUAGACUUGGUAUGGUUGUGAAUAGUGUUGAGAUGUUAUUUUGGGGGAUGUCAUUAUUACUUUAUAUGUUAUGUGGAAGGAAAACUAGCGGAUGGAAUGAGUUUCUACUGAUUUAAUAGAGAAUUUGCCACAGAAGCUGUCAUUCUAGACAGCCAGCACUAGGAGGCCACAGAGACCAGGAUUCUGAUGGACUCAGAUUUAGUCAAGCAUCUUUCCUGUCGGAGUUGAGAAAGAAAUCUAGGGUAAAAAGCCCAGUUGAAACGCUGUAAAAACUUCUUAAAAUUCGGAUCAGAUAAACUAGGGUAAACAGGAGUUAUCCUAUUUUUCAUACUGUAGUAAUAAAUGUAUCUCAAAUAUGCAACACUACUUCUUUAUAUUCUUGUAACGUUGCUUGUAAAUAGAACAAGCAAAGUAUGUAUACUUAUGUAUGACCACCACUUUUUAAAAUUGUAUUUCCGGUUUUUAGUCCUUGAACCCUUGGAUCCAGGCCCUGAUCACCUCACGCCCGGAUGAGUUCAAUAGCUUCCUAAUUGAUCACACUUUUGUCUUGUUUUCUUUCAUUUUAUUCUAGUUAUUGAAAACAAGAGUUUUCAUCAGAAAUCGUUUUGAUCACGUGUCCUCUGAUUAGAAACCUUUGGUAGUUUCCGGUCAAAUAGUAUUUCAAAUCCAAGCCUAUUUAUUCACUCACUCAUUUCUUCCUGCAGCAAAUGUGAGUGAGCGCCUGUAGACAACAAGACAGACAGAUGCUGGGGCAUUCUGUCCUCUCGGGCUUCUUAUUUGCCCCUGCAUUUUCUCAGGAUUCGCCCCUGAGUCUCUUACAGCUAAACACACACUCUCCUCCCCCCCUAAAUAUUUAUCUUUGUGCUUUUAAACGUCAGUCAACCUCUCUGUCAUUUUGUAAUUCUCUUCUUUCAGAAUUGCGUCUGGUUUGUUCACAACCUGCUCUCCGUCCAUUAUUCUGUGAUCUCCCAGCCCGGAAAUACUUAGUUCCUACUACCUUAGUUUCAUUUAAUUUUAGUUUUUCCCUAUUAAAAUUUACAAAUUUAAAUAUGUGUAUGCAGUUGCGUAAGAACAAGGUGGUCUCUUAUUUCUUUGUUUUUCCUGUUGGUCCAACGUAGUAUCCUACAAAAGGGAAAUAUUACCUUAAUGACCGUGGCACACCCUCCCGGCUGCUUUCCCUGUGACCUUUCACCACUCCUUCUUUUCUAAUAGAACUUCAAUUUUGUUCAAAAAUCCAGUCUUCUUUGCAUGUUCGUGUGUUUUGGGGGUAAGCAGGCUUGGGCCUCAGCCUCUGACUGUCUUGAAGGUUCCGUUCUUCAUGACAUUGCACUAGUUUGAGCAAGAGCAUGAGACCCAGUUCUGGCCCGUGGGACAUAAACAGGAGUCUGCUGGGGGGGCUUGGAGAAAGGUUUUCCUCCUUGAGGAAAAAGAGUUACAUGGGUAGUUCUGGCCACUGUGAGCCAAGCUCCAGCCGUCGUGCAGGCAGGCAUGAAGGGAGGUUGUCCAAGCGCCAGUCGCCACGCUUGAAAGAGUAGAAAGACAGAUGGGACUGGUGCCCUGGCUGGCAUGAUUGAGCCAUCUUCCUUGGGAUUUCUUGUUAAGUGAAGAUAACGAAGCUUGGUUGGUUUGGGAUUUUCUCUUACUUGCAGACAAAGGCAUCUGGCUAGCUCCUCAUCCUUCCAGUCUCGGUUUAGAUUCUCCGAUCUCUCACGGGUCCCUGUGCAUCUUCUGUCGUGGACUUGCCUUAGCGUGUCGUAAUAGGUUAUUACUUGUCAGCACCACGAUUGACUACAAGAGCUUUCUCUUGUUCACAGUUGUGUCCUUAGACACUAACAUAGUACCUGAUGACCGAUUAGUUUUUAAUAUCUGUAUUUAGUCAUACUAUCCUGAAAGUACACCCAGGUUUCUGGGGCAGGGCGAUUGUUACUUACAGCAUAACCUAAGACGAGAGACUCUGAGUUUAUAACCCUUGGAAUAUCUCCAUGGCCCCGGUUUCAUCACACUUCGGAAACGUAAACACAUACCUCUGGGGAGAUAAAUCUCUUACUAUCUAUUCACUUAUCUUUUAAGUUUUAAGGCUUGCCCGCUAACCCAGGUCCCAGUAAAAUUUGCCCAAAAGCUCCAACUGUGCAGAAGAAUAAAAAUAUUCACUUGCUGAUAGUGACAUAGUAGGUACUCAAUAAACUGUUAAAUGUUUAACAAACUAAAAAAAAGAAUAACUCUAACUCACUGAUCUCAGCUGGGGCAGGGAUCGGGGGCUUUGGCUGUGGGGUGGGGGAAAGUGUAGCAGAAUCAUCGGGGGGAAUUUGUUUUAUCAACGAUGUCCUUCCCACCCCAAGAUUCUCACACGCUCCUGUUGUUACUGUCAUAUUCCUUAGGGGAAUCUUUCUGUGUGUGUAUGUGGCCAAAAAAGAUGAGAACCCCAACAUAGCCCGUCCAGUGAUGGAAUCCCCUCUGUAGCUUUUCCCAUUUAAGUAAAUAAUGGGACUGAUUCUCUUGACACCUGAUCCCAGGGCUGCUGUGUCCGUGUUUAUGCUUAUUUCAGCUGAUUCUUCUAUUUUGUGUUUACUUACAUGGAUUUGGGAUUUGUUUGUUAAAAGAUGUUUCUUUCUUUUGCUGAUAGUUUGCCUUUUUUCAGAGAGGGUUUGAGGCAACUCUACAGCAAAAAUAUGUAAAACAAAAUGGCACAGAAACAGGAAAUCAGGACUGAGAAAAAGAUUAAAAUGUGUCGAUAGAUUUUAAUUCAGAUUUGCUUCUGGUUUUUUAUUGUCACCUAAGGCAAAAUGGCAAAUAUCAUCAGUUAUGUUCACGGUUCUUAACAUUUUCGUGUAAGUCACAAACCCCUCUGAUGAAAUCUAUGGAUCUUCUUCUGAAAGAGUGGACACACACACAAAGUCAAUUUUGCUAGAAUUUGGGGCCCGUCCUUCCCCCACUGAGGAUUGAUGGAAACUUUUGUUAUCAGAGAAGAUGAAACACACCCCUUUGUUAGGAAGGGAAAAAAUAGUGUUAGUAUUAGGUUCUAAAAAAUUUAUUUCUGUAAUAAAAUAUGUCGGACAUAAGGAAAAAUAGACUAAACUAUCAAAAACUCACCAUCAGUUUUAUAUUAUUUCCUUUCAUUUUUUUUUAAGUAAUAAAAUGUCGUAGACAAAAGAGAAGCUUCCUGUUUAGCGUUUUUGGAUCUCUUUCGCCCCUCUUGGUCCUUAGUAGAAACCACUAUCCUGAAUUUAGUGUUUACAAUUCCACACACAUUUUAUACUUUUACUGCCUUUGUAUACACCUGUCGCAUUGUGUAUAUAACAUUAUUUUAUGAUCUCAAACUUUAUAUAAAUAUGUUCCUGUCUGUAGUCUUCUUCAACUUUUUUCACCUGUUUUUUUUCUUUAUUGUGGUAAAAAACACAUAACAUGAUAUCUUCCUCCUUAACAAAUUUCUACAUGUGCAGUACAUUAUUGAUAACUAUAUGCACAGUUUUGCACAGCAGAUCUCUAGUACUUUUUAUUUUCUUUGAACAGGGGUUUUUUAAAGUUUUAUUUCAUGCAUUAUUCACAACUCUGCAGUGGUUUCAGAAAGCCGAUGUAUAUCCUGGACGCAAAGAAAUGAAAAACCACAAAAACAAAGACAUGGUUUUCGUAUUGUUGAUUGGGAGUUUAAUACUAUUGUGCAUGGAUUUCAUCUUUUUUUUUUAAUUGAGGUAACAUUGGUUUAUAACAUUAUAUAAAUUUCAGGUGCACAUCAUUAUAUUUCCAUUUCUAUGUAGAUUACAUCAUGUUCACCACCGAGAGACUGAUUGUCUCAUCACCACACGCAUGUGCCCUGUUGCCGCUUUCGCCCUCCUCCCUCCCACGUUCCCCUCUGGCAACCACCAAUCCAUUCUCUGUCUCUGUGUGAUUGUUUGUUGUUUUUACCUUCUAUUUAUGAGUGAGAUCAUAUAGUAGUUAAUUCUGACAAUUUCGCUUAGCAUAAUACCCUCAGGGUCCAUCCAUGUUGUCACAAAUGGCCAGAUUUCAUUGUUUUUUAUGAAUGAGUAGUAGUCCAUUGUGUAUAUAUACCACAGCUUCUUUAUCCAUUCAUCUCUUGAUGGACACCUAGGUUGCUUCCAAGUCUUGGCUAUUGUGAAUAAUGCUGCGAUGAACAUAGGGGUGCAUGUAUCUUUACGCAUUCAUGUUCUCAUGUUCUUUGGAUAAAUGCCCAGCAGUGGAAUAGCUGGAUCAUAUGGUAGUUGUAUUCUUAACAUUUUGAGGAAUCUCCAUACUGUUUUCCUGUCAUAGUGGCUACCCCAGUUUGUACUCCCACCAGCAGUGUAUAAGAGUUCCCUUCUCUCCACAUCCUCUCCAACACUUAUUUCCUCUCUUGUUAAUUAUAGCCAUCCUGACGGGAGUGAGGUGAUAUCUCGUUGUAGAGUUUCGAUUUGCAUUUCCCUGAUAGUUAGUGAUGUUGAACAUCCUUUCAUAUGCCUCUUGACCAUCUGUAUAUCUUCUUUGGAGAAAUGUCUGUUCAGAUCUUUUGCCUGUUUGUUAAUUGGGUGAUUAGUUUUUUUGUUGUUGAGAUGUAUGACUUCUUUAUAUAUUUUGCGUAUUAACCCCUUAUCAGAUAUAUAGUUUGCAAAUAUUUUCUCCAAAUUGUUAGGUUGUCUUUUUGUUUUAUUGAUGUUUCCUUUGCUGUGCAGAAGCUUUUUAGUUUGAUGUAGUCCCAUUUGUUUAUUUUUUCUAUUGUUUCCCUUGCCCAGUCAGACAUGGUACUUGAAAAUAUGCUGCUAAGACCGGUAUCUAAGAGUGUACUGCCUAUGUUUUCUUCUAGAAUUUUUAUGGUUUCGGGUCUUACACUCAAGUCUUUAAUCCAUUUUGAGUUAAUUUUUGUGUAUGGUGAAAGAUAACUGUCUACUUUCAUUCUUUUGCAUGUGGCUGUCCAGUUUUCCCAACACCAUUUAUUGAAGAGACUUUCCUUUCUCCAUUGUAUAUUCUUGGCUCCUUUGUCAAAAAUUAGCUGUCCACAGAUGUGUGGGUUUAUUUGUGGCCUCUCAGUUCUGUUCCAUUGAUCUGUGUAUCUGUUUUUGUGCCAGUACCAUGCUGUUUUGGUUACUGUUGCUUUGUUGUAUAUUUUGAAAUCAGGGAGUGUAAUACCUCCAGCUUUGUUCUUUUUUCUCAAGAUUCCUUUGGUUGUUUGGGGUCUUUUGUUGUUCUAUGUAAAUUUUAGGAUUCUUUGUUCUAUUUCUGUGGAAAACGUUGGAGCUUUCAUAGGGAUUUCAUUGAAUCUGUAGAUUGCUUUAGGGAGUAUGGACUCUUUAACUAUGUUAAUUCUUACAAUCCAAGAGCAUGGGAUAUCUUUCCAUUUCUUUGCAUCUUCC
This 14682-nucleotide long non-coding RNA is filed under the name Equus caballus (horse). Its description in RNAcentral is "lncRNA (ENSECAG00000055915.1)". The record is from RNAcentral. Lineage: Eukaryota; Metazoa; Chordata; Mammalia; Perissodactyla; Equidae.